UGUUUGGAGAGUUUGAUCCUGGCUCAGGACGAACGCUGGCGGCGUGCUUAACACAUGCAAGUCGAACGGAAAGGUCUCUUCGGAGAUACUCGAGUGGCGAACGGGUGAGUAACACGUGGGUAAUCUGCCCUGCACAUCGGGAUAAGCCUGGGAAACUGGGUCUAAUACCGGAUAGGACCACGAGGCGCAUGCCUUUGUGGUGGAAAGCUUUUGCGGUGUGGGAUGGGCCCGCGGCCUAUCAGCUUGUUGGUGGGGUGACGGCCUACCAAGGCGACGACGGGUAGCCGGCCUGAGAGGGUGUCCGGCCACACUGGGACUGAGAUACGGCCCAGACUCCUACGGGAGGCAGCAGUGGGGAAUAUUGCACAAUGGGCGCAAGCCUGAUGCAGCGA
Molecule: ribosomal RNA, 392 nt
Filed under: Mycobacterium sp.
Lineage: Bacteria; Bacillati; Actinomycetota; Actinomycetes; Mycobacteriales; Mycobacteriaceae
Description: bacterial SSU rRNA
Rfam family: Bacterial small subunit ribosomal RNA
Source: RNAcentral